AGCUUUCUGAAUUCGUGCAGAGAUUUGUUCAGACACCAAUCCAUUACAGCUGAUCAGACUUCCAAGAUAAAUUGUCGACGCG
RNAcentral lists this microRNA precursor (82 nucleotides) under Schistosoma mattheei. RNAcentral describes it as "mir-3492 microRNA precursor family". It matches the Rfam family "mir-3492 microRNA precursor family". The record is from Rfam by way of RNAcentral. Lineage: Eukaryota; Metazoa; Platyhelminthes; Trematoda; Strigeidida; Schistosomatidae.